GAUGAACGCUGGCGGCGUGCCUAAUACAUGCAAGUCGAACGCAUAGCGAAAGGUGCUUGCACCUUUCAAGUGAGUGGCGAACGGGUGAGUAACACGUGGACAACCUGCCUCAAGGCUGGGGAUAACAUUUGGAAACAGAUGCUAAUACCGAAUAAAACUUAGUGUCGCAUGACACAAAGUUAAAAGGCGCUUCGGCGUCACCUAGAGAUGGAUCCGCGGUGCAUUAGUUAGUUGGUGGGGUAAAGGCCUACCAAGACAAUGAUGCAUAGCCGAGUUGAGAGACUGAUCGGCCACAUUGGGACUGAGACACGGCCCAAACUCCUACGGGAGGCUGCAGUAGGGAAUCUUCCACAAUGGGCGAAGGCCUGAUGGAGCAACGCCGCGUGUGUGAUGAAGGCUUUCGGGUCGUAAAGCACUGUUGUAUGGGAAGAACAGCUAGAAUAGGAAAUGAUUUUAGUUUGACGGUACCAUACCAGAAAGGGACGGCUAAAUACGUG
RNAcentral lists this ribosomal RNA (497 nucleotides) under uncultured bacterium. RNAcentral describes it as "partial 16S ribosomal RNA". It matches the Rfam family "Bacterial small subunit ribosomal RNA", at positions 28 to 507 of the family's 1533-position model. The record is from RNAcentral.